CAACAGGGAUUGCCCUAGUAACGGCGAGUGAAGCGGCAACAGCUCAAAUUUGAAAUCUGGCUCUCUUUGGGGGUCCGAGUUGUAAUUUGCAGAGGAUGCUUUGGCAUUGGCGGCGUUCUAAGUUCCUUGGAACAGGACAUCACAGAGGGUGAGAAUCCCGUACGUGGUCGCCUGCCUUUGCCGUGUAAAGCUCCUUCGACGAGUCGAGUUGUUUGGGAAUGCAGCUCUAAAUGGGAGGUAAAUUUCUUCUAAAGCUAAAUACCGGCCAGAGACCGAUAGCGCACAAGUAGAGUGAUCGAAAGAUGAAAAGUACUUUGGAAAGAGAGUCAAAAAGCACGUGAAAUUGUUGAAAGGGAAGCGCUUGCAGCCAGACUUGCCCGCAGUUGCUCACCUAGGCUUUGGCCUGGGGCACUCUUCUGUGGGCAGGCCAGCAUCAGUUUGGGCGGUUGGAUAAAGGCCUCUGUCACGUAUCUCCCUUCGGGGUGACCUUAUAGGGGAGGCGUAAUGCAACCAGCCCGGACUGAGGUCCGCGCAUCUGCUAGGAUGCUGGCGUAAUGGCUGUAAGCGGCCCGUCUUGAAACACGGACCAAGGAGUCUAACAUCUAUGCGAGUGUUUGGGUGUCAAGCCCGGGCGCGCAAUGAAAGUGAACGGAGGUGGGAACCCUUUGGGUGCACCAUCGACCGAUCCUGAUGUCUUCGGAUGGAUUUGAGUAAGAGCAUAGCUGUUGGGACCCGAAAGAUGGUGAACUAUGCUUGAAUAGGGUGAAGCCAGAGGAAACUCUGGUGGAGGCUCGCAGCGGUUCUGACGUGCAAAUCGAUCGUCAAAUUUGGGCAUAGGGGCGAAAGACUAAUCGA
This 855-nucleotide ribosomal RNA is filed under the name Paraconiothyrium hakeae. Its description in RNAcentral is "eukaryotic LSU rRNA". It matches the Rfam family "Eukaryotic large subunit ribosomal RNA", at positions 66 to 938 of the family's 3401-position model. Lineage: Eukaryota; Fungi; Ascomycota; Dothideomycetes; Pleosporales; Didymosphaeriaceae. The record is from RNAcentral.